RNAcentral lists this ribosomal RNA (503 nucleotides) under uncultured bacterium. RNAcentral describes it as "partial 16S ribosomal RNA". It matches the Rfam family "Bacterial small subunit ribosomal RNA", at positions 30 to 523 of the family's 1533-position model. The record is from RNAcentral.
AUUGAACGCUGGCGGCAGGCUUAACACAUGCAAGUCGAGCGGGGUGAUGGUGCUUGCACUAUCACUUAGCGGCGGACGGGUGAGUAAUGCUUAGGAAUCUGCCUAUUAGUGGGGGACAACAUCUCGAAAGGGAUGCUAAUACCGCAUACGUCCUACGGGAGAAAGCAGGGGAUCACUUGUGACCUUGCGCUAAUAGAUGAGCCUAAGUCGGAUUAGCUAGUUGGUGGGGUAAAGGCCUACCAAGGCGACGAUCUGUAGCGGGUCUGAGAGGAGGAUCCGCCACACUGGGACUGAGACACGGCCCAGACUCCUACGGGAGGCAGCAGUGGGGAAUAUUGGACAAUGGGGGGAACCCUGAUCCAGCCAUGCCGCGUGUGUGAAGAGGGCCUUAUGGUUGUAAAGCACUUUAAGCGAGGAGGAGGCUCUUUUGGUUAAUACCCAAGAUGAGUGGACGUUACUCGCAGAAUAAGCACCGGCUAACUCUGUGCCAGCAGCCGCCGUAA